RNAcentral lists this ribosomal RNA (467 nucleotides) under uncultured bacterium. RNAcentral describes it as "partial 16S ribosomal RNA". It matches the Rfam family "Bacterial small subunit ribosomal RNA", at positions 28 to 507 of the family's 1533-position model. The record is from RNAcentral.
GACGAACGCUGGCGGCGUGCUUAACACAUGCAAGUCGAACGAUGACGACCGAGCUUGCUCGGUCUGAUUAGUGGCGAACGGGUGAGUAACACGUGAGCAACCUGCCCUUCACUCUGGGAUAACCUCGGGAAAUCGGGGCUAAUACCGGAUAUGAGCUCCUGUCGCAUGGCGGGUGUUGGAAAGUUUUUCGGUGAAGGAUGGGCUCGCGGCCUAUCAGUUUGUUGGUGAGGUAGUGGCUCACCAAGGCGAUGACGGGUAGCCGGCCCGAGAGGGCGACCGGCCACACUGGGACUGAGACACGGCCCAGACUCCUACGGGAGGCAGCAGUGGGGAAUAUUGCACAAUGGGCGAAAGCCUGAUGCAGCGACGCCGCGUGAGGGAUGACGGCCUUCGGGUUGUAAACCUCUUUCAGCAGGGAAGAAGCGAAAGUGACGGUACCUGCAGAAGAAGCGCCGGCUAACUACGUG